GUGGCCUUCCCGCGCCCGCCCGUCGGGGCAGAGCCGCCGGCCUGAGACGGAGGGCGCUGCUGAGCCCAGGGGUUGAGAGUCCUGGUUCCUGCUGUGGUCCCGGAGCUCCACCUGAGACCGGAGGGAAGCCGUCUGCCCUAUCAAGGUUAUGCUAGUCUUAUGAAACAAGGAGGAGAGUGUUCCUGGUUUACCCCAAGAGUUCCUGUGAGAUUGCUGUUUACUUCCCUGGCUUUUUGGAAGAAUUGAUUGGCAAAACAAGUAAAGCAUUUCCCACUGCUAGGAAUUUAGUGAGGCCAGCAGACUCUACAAUUGGAGUUGGCCACAUCUCAACAACUAAAGGCAUGCAGGGAGCAGCUUCUUACAAGAGAAGCGGAAAUCGCGGAGCUGAAAGCCGAAAGGAACAACACCAGGCUGCUGCUGGAACACCUGGAGAUCCUGGUUUCCCGGUAUGUGCCGUCCCUCCGGAUGACGGCGGGCCCGCAGCAGGCGCAGUCCCCAGCCAGCAUGACCAGCGAGGUGGAGCUGCUCAGGGCCCUGAGAUUGCUCUUUGAGCACCACAAGGCCCUGGACGAGAAGUGGAGAGAGCAACUACGACACGCUCUCGAAAGGUGUAGUUCC
Dama dama (fallow deer) is the source of this 618-nucleotide long non-coding RNA. RefSeq lists it as uncharacterized. The transcript is spliced from 6 exons. The record is from RefSeq and is a predicted model, not a curated record. NCBI's taxonomy places the organism in Eukaryota, Metazoa, Chordata, Mammalia, Artiodactyla, Cervidae.